UGGGGAAUUUUGGACAAUGGGCGCAAGCCUGAUCCAGCAAUGCCGCGUGCGGGAAGAAGGCCUUCGGGUUGUAAACCGCUUUUGUCAGGGAAGAAGCGAGUUUCUCUAAUACAGAGACUUAAUGACGGUACCUGAAGAGUAAGCACCGGCUAACUACGUGCCAGCAGCCGCGGUAAUACGUAGGGUGCAAGCGUUAAUCGGAAUUACUGGGCGUAAAGCGUGCGCAGGCGGUUAUGCAAGACAGAUGUGAAAUCCCCGGGCUCAACCUGGGAACUGCAUUUGUGACUGUAUAGCUAGAGUACGGCAGAGGGGGAUGGAAUUCCGCGUGUAGCAGUGAAAUGCGUAGAUAUGCGGAGGAACACCGAUGGCGAAGGCAAUCCCCUGGGCCUGUACUGACGCUCAUGCACGAAAGCGUGGGGAGCAAACA
This 427-nucleotide ribosomal RNA is filed under the name uncultured bacterium. RNAcentral describes it as "bacterial SSU rRNA". It matches the Rfam family "Bacterial small subunit ribosomal RNA", at positions 355 to 774 of the family's 1533-position model. The record is from RNAcentral.